This 539-nucleotide ribosomal RNA is filed under the name uncultured bacterium. Its description in RNAcentral is "bacterial SSU rRNA". It matches the Rfam family "Bacterial small subunit ribosomal RNA", at positions 8 to 526 of the family's 1533-position model. The record is from RNAcentral.
AGAGUUUGAUCAUGGCUCAGAAUCAACGCUGGCGGCGUGCCUCAGACAUGCAAGUCGAACGCGAAAGCCUCCUUCGGGGGGCAAGUAGAGUGGCGCACGGGUGAGUAACACGUAGGUAAUCUACCCUUGGAUUGGGAAUAACCACCGGAAACGGUGGCUAAUACCGAAUAAUGCAGCGGCACCUAAUGGUGACAGUUGUUAAAGCGGGGGAUCGAAAGACCUCGCGUCUGAAGAGGAGCCUGCGGCAGAUUAGCUAGUUGGUAAGGUAACGGCUUACCAAGGCGAUGAUCCGUAGCCGGCCUGAGAGGGCGGUCGGCCACACUGACACUGACAUACGGGUCAGACUCCUACGGGAGGCAGCAGUCGGGAAUUUUGGGCAAUGGGCGAAAGCCUGACCCAGCAACGCCGCGUGAAGGAUGAAAUCCUUCGGGAUGUAAACUUCGCAAGAACGGGAAGAAUAAGUAAGGGUUAAUAUCUCUUACGAUGACGGUACUGUUUGUAAGCUCCGGCUAACUCCGUGCCAGCAGCCGCGGUAAUAC